Molecule: ribosomal RNA, 253 nt
Filed under: uncultured bacterium
Lineage: Bacteria
Description: partial 16S ribosomal RNA
Rfam family: Bacterial small subunit ribosomal RNA
Source: RNAcentral
UACGUAGGUGGCAAGCGUUGUCCGGAAUUAUUGGGCGUAAAGCGCGCGCAGGCGGUCCUUUAAGUCUGAUGUGAAAGCCCACGGCUCAACCGUGGAGGGUCAUUGGAAACUGGGGGACUUGAGUGCAGAAGAGGAAAGCGGAAUUCCACGUGUAGCGGUGAAAUGCGUAGAGAUGUGGAGGAACACCGGUGGCGAAGGCGGCUCACUGGCUCGUUUCUGACGCUCAGGCGCGAUCGCGUGGGGAUCAAACAGG